Molecule: ribosomal RNA, 468 nt
Filed under: uncultured bacterium
Lineage: Bacteria
Description: partial 16S ribosomal RNA
Rfam family: Bacterial small subunit ribosomal RNA
Source: RNAcentral
GACGAACGCUGGCGGCGUGCUUAACACAUGCAAGUCGAACGGGAAGGCCCUGCUUUUGUGGGGUGCUCGAGUGGCGAACGGGUGAGUAACACGUGAGUAACCUGCCCUUGACUUUGGGAUAACUUCAGGAAACUGGGGCUAAUACCGGAUAGGAGCUCCUGCUGCAUGGUGGGGGUUGGAAAGUUUCGGCGGUUAGGGAUGGACUCGCGGCUUAUCAGCUUGUUGGUGGGGUAGUGGCUUACCAAGGCUUUGACGGGUAGCCGGCCUGAGAGGGUGACCGGCCACAUUGGGACUGAGAUACGGCCCAGACUCCUACGGGAGGCAGCAGUGGGGAAUAUUGCACAAUGGGCGGAAGCCUGAUGCAGCAACGCCGCGUGCGGGAUGACGGCCUUCGGGUUGUAAACCGCUUUCGCCUGUGACGAAGCGUGAGUGACGGUAAUGGGUAAAGAAGCACCGGCUAACUACGUG